This 460-nucleotide ribosomal RNA is filed under the name uncultured bacterium. RNAcentral's name for it is "partial 16S ribosomal RNA". It matches the Rfam family "Bacterial small subunit ribosomal RNA", at positions 338 to 795 of the family's 1533-position model. The record is from RNAcentral.
CCUACGGGUGGCAGCAGUGAGGAAUAUUGGUCAAUGGGCGUGAGCCUGAACCAGCCAAGUCGCGUGAAGGAUGACUGCUCUAUGGGUCGUAAACUUCUUUUAUAAAGGAAUAAAGUGAGGCACGUGUGCCUUUUUGUAUGUACUUUAUGAAUAAGGAUCGGCUAACUCCGUGCCAGCAGCCGCGGUAAUACGGAGGAUCCGAGCGUUAUCCGGAUUUAUUGGGUUUAAAGGGAGCGUAGAUGGGCUGUUAAGUCAGUUGUGAAAGUUUGCGGCUCAACCGUAAAAUUGCACUUGAUACUGGCGGGCUUGAGUACAGUUGAGGCAGGCGGAAUGCGUGGUGUAGCGGUGAAAUGCUUAGAUAUCACGAAGAACCCCGAUUGCGAAGGCAGCUUACUAAGCUGUGACUGACACUGAUGCUCGAAAGUGUGGGGAUCAAACAGGAUUAGAUACCCCAGUAGUC